Molecule: ribosomal RNA, 464 nt
Filed under: uncultured bacterium
Lineage: Bacteria
Description: bacterial SSU rRNA
Rfam family: Bacterial small subunit ribosomal RNA
Source: RNAcentral
GACGAACGCUGGCGGCGUGCUUAACACAUGCAAGUCAAACGAUGAUGCCAGCUUGCUGGUGGAUUAGUGGCGAACGGGUGAGUAACACGUGGGUGAUCUGCCCCAAACUUUGGGAUAAGCCUGGGAAACUGGGUCUAAUACCGGAUAGUACCUUCCCUUGCAUGGGGGUUGGUGGAAAGCUCCGGCGGUUUGGGAUGGGCCCGCGGCCUAUCAGCUUGUUGGUGGGGUAAUGGCCUACCAAGGCAACAACGGGUAGCCGGCCUGAGAGGGCGACCGGCCACACUGGGACUGAAACACGGCCCAAACUCCUACGGGAGGCAGCAGUGGGGAAUAUUGCACAAUGGGCGCAAGCCUGAUGCACCGACCCCGCGUGAGGGAUGACGGCCUUCGGGUUGUAAACCUCUUUCACCAGGGACAAAGCGUGAGUGACGGUACCUGAAGAAAAAGCACCGGCCAACUACGUG